RNAcentral lists this small RNA (3154 nucleotides) under Pyricularia oryzae. RNAcentral's name for it is "Magnaporthe oryzae sRNA M_BR32_EuGene_00144851". Lineage: Eukaryota; Fungi; Ascomycota; Sordariomycetes; Magnaporthales; Pyriculariaceae. The record is from RNAcentral.
AAAAUUUAAUUGCUGUGAAAUAAUUUUAAAAACGAAUUUAUUUAUAUGGUAAUAAUCGUGUUUUAUAUAAUUUAUUAUCCCUGGUAAUAAAAUAUUUAUUAUAUUGGAUAUAUUGGUGAGCGGUUAUAUUAUUCCUAUUAUUUGCUAUAGGUGUUAUAUAAUAUUUGGCAUUUAUUAAUUAAAGCACCCUUUUUUAAUUACGUGCGGUUACGUAACCUUUUCCUUAUAUAAUCCUAUUUCUGCCGGUCGGUAAUUUCUUUGGACAAAUGUCGUUAGGAGGGGUGUAACCCCACCUGGCCUUUCUAGUACCGGCCCAACUGUCUGGUCGUAACAUGUAUAUAUAUAUAUAUAUAUUUGUAGCACUAAUAAUAAUUGAAAUGUUAAAAAUAUUAUACAUUUGCUAUUCUUAUUAUUCAAAAUUCGAAUUAAAAUGCAAUAAAUAUAAGGUGAAGCCUAUUAAAUAAAUUAAACUUUAAAUAAUAUCUGGAAUUUUAGCCUGGGUUAGUAAUAUAUCCGGUAAAUCUUAUACAAUUUUUGAAAAUAAAAAUUAUAAAAACGUGUAUUAAAUUGAAUUUUAAUUUAUAAUAUUUCUGGUUAAUAAAUAAAAGAAUAAAAAACUUAUAAUAAUAAUAAAAAAAUAAGAACAAUAUUACAAAUUCUUUUAAUUUUAAUUGCAAAGCUUAUUAUUAUUAUAAACGUUAUUUUCUAUUUAAUUUAUUUAAUUUAUUGAAACGAAUAUAUUUAUCUGGUUGGGUUUAUAUAGUCGAACAAAUCUCGGUCUAAUACCAUUUUAAUCCUAAUAAUUGAAUUAUAUUCGGCCCAAUUUAAAUUUAAUAUAAUUAAAUAUUUUGUUCAAAAUUGGAAUGCACGUUUUUGUAAUUAAUUACAGUGGUUUAAUAGGCGAUAUAUUUCCGGUCCGGCGCGUAAAUACCGGAUCCGACCGUUCGAACCACCGCCGGAAAUAAAAUCAAUUAAAAAUAAAAUGAAAAUAAAUUAACAAAGGGAAAAUGGGAUUCAAAAACGUAAAAAAAUAUAAUUUCAAAAGUUUGCGGCCGUUUGGUUACGUUUUUUAAUCGUUACCAAUACAAUUUUCGUUUUGCAAUUUUUUUUUAAUAUUUCGGGCGAUUUGGUAUUAUCGCGGCGCAAUUUUACCAAUUAUAUCGUGGUCUUAACGUUUGCAAUACGUAAAUUAAUAUUAUAAUUAAAUUUAUUUUGAUAUAAAUUAUUUUAAUAAUUUUGGUUUUAACGUUUGAUUUCGUACCGUUGUUUUGAAUUUUUCCGCCGCAAAUAUUAAAAAAUAUGGCCGAUUUUAUUUAAACCGGUUUUUUUUUUAUAAAAUGGCAAUAAUAAUUUUGGAAAUCCGGCAUUUACCCCCAAAUAGCAAACCAAAUUGAAAAUUUUCAACCGAAAAAAAAGCGCUAAAAGUUGGGAUUUUUUUGGACAAAUAUAAAAAAAUGAAUUAACUUUUUAAUUUUCAAUUAAAUUUAUAUUAAUUUGUUUUAAAAAAAGUAUUUGCAGGCGUUUUGUGUGGAAAUAACGACCCGUUAACGUAAUAAAUGGAAGAAACGCGGAAACCGCCGCGUUACCGUUCGCGAAAAAAUAAUAAAUAUAAAUUACUGUGAAGUUUACGCGAUAAAUUAUAAAUUUAAAAUUUACUUUUAAUUAAAUUAAGGCAAAAUUACCCAAAUUAAUUAUUAAUUUACCAACCCCGGUUUUAAUACGGCGAAACGCGCUGGAUAACGCGUUUCCGAAAAUUAUUAUUAAUUUUGCGUUUUAUUAAUAAUAAAUAAUAAAUAAUAAAAAUUAUAAUAAACCAAUUUGUUAAAACUAUAAGGGGGAUUUGGUUAAAAAUGGCAAAUUAAAAUAUUGGAAUUAUUAUUAUAAAUAUCGCAAAUGCAAAAUAAUAUAAACAGAAUAAAUUUUUUUUUAACCAGGAUCUUUUAUUAAUUAAUUAAUUUUCGUUUUAUAACCGCCGUUUUUAUUAUAAUUUGUUGAAAGAAUACCAAAAUAUAUUACAAACUUUUUUAUCAACGAUUGCGUUUGUUUUGUGAUUAAUUUUCGACAAAUCCAACAAAACUUUCGAAACGGUAUAAUUGGAAUCGCGGUUGCAAAAAUUAAUAUUUUUACAUUAAAUCGCGUAAGAAUUUUAAUUAUUUAUAUAAUUGGAGAAAAUUUAAAACGCGAAUUUUAGGUAUUUUUGCGGAAAAAAUCUCACUUGCGGUUAAUAAUAAUAAUAGUUAAAUUUAAACGGUUUUUUUUUAUUUUUUCAGAUAUUUUAUAUUUUCUUCGGCGGUAUUUUCGUAAAACGUUUUUUUUUUUAAAACUAUAAUACCUUUUUGCGGCGCAAAAAUAUAAAAUACGCCGCAAUUUGUCCCAUAUUCUAACAAUUUCAAAUAAAAAAAUAUCUAUUUAAAAAGAAAAAGAAAAUUUUAUUUAUACCAAAUAUAAUUAAUAAAUAUUAAACCCCACGGGCGCGUUAUAUAUUUAAUAAAUAUACGGUAAUUAUAAAAAUUGCGCGGUAAAAAUAACUAAUGUUCCGCGAACCCAAAUAUACGAAUUUAAUACAUUUUUAUUUUAUUUGUUUAUAUUUUUAAUACGUCGUAUGGAUUUAAUAAUUUUUGAAAAUAUUCGAAUUAUUCUUAAACAAACGUUUUCGUUAAUUCGUUCGCAAAUAUAAAAUUUAUUGGUAAAUAUUCUACCGCAAUUGUUUCGUUUUCCGUUAAUUACCGUAAUUAUAUAUUUUAUAUAUCAAUAUAUUUAAGCUUUGUUAAAAAAGAUUUAUUUUACCCCAUUACCAGCCAAAUUAAUUAUUUAUAAUUACAAAAUAUUUUAAUUGCGUUGAAAAUAUUUAAAGUGAAAUUAUUUAAUAGUUUUUCAAACGCAAAAGUUCUUUUUGCUAUUAAAUCUAAAAUUAGCAAUUUAAAUUCCGUAAAUAAUAUGGAAAUAAUUGUUUAUUUUAAAAAGUUUUGAUAUAUUGGACCAUUUCCGAUUGUAAAUAUAAAAUUUCAUAAAUUGCGUUUAAUUUUAACGCAAUUGGUAAACGAUAUGUUAACCGCGACCAUUAAAAAUGCGUAAAUUUCCCAAAAUCCGGAACAAAUCUUUAAAAAAUACAUCAAAAAAAAGGUAACGUAUAAUAUAAUUUAUCGUAUAUAUA